RNAcentral lists this transfer RNA (72 nucleotides) under Ochrophlegma sp. TAMUIC IGC OR279. Its description in RNAcentral is "tRNA-Val". The record is from RNAcentral. Lineage: Eukaryota; Metazoa; Arthropoda; Insecta; Orthoptera; Pyrgomorphidae.
CAAGAUAAAUCUCAUUAGUUGAGUUUUUCAUUUACACUGAGAAGGUUUACUGUGCGAUUCAGUUUAUCUUGA